AAUAGGUCCAACCACCAGCCAUCAGUCACUCCAUCAGAAGAAGAGGAGAGGGUUGCCAUGUUUGAUGGUGGUGGUUGUGGCUUCUAGGGUUUGUAUCGAUGAGGAGAAGAGAGGAGAAGUGGUGGUGGUGGACUAGAGGUCGCAGUGACGACUCAUAAUGUCCAUUGCGACGGUGAGAGAGGAGAUCGAAGUGGUGGUUGGCUUGCUUUGCUUGGAAGGAUAGGGUGUGGCCUGGUGGGGUUGGCGGCUAAGGUUAGUGGGAGGUUGAAGGCUGAGAUAAUGAGAGUAUUUAACUAUUUAUAAGGUAGGUUGGACUGCAUCUAAUGUGCUGGUCUGGAGCAUUUUUUUAAUAAGAACUGGUUCGGUUGGGUUAGAGUUCAAACCAGAAGGGACUACCACAAACCAUAAAAAAUGGUUCUCUUCACCCGUCAGAUCCAUUUUCUGGUCGGACAAGCCCGAUUUCACAAAAAUGAACUCGGUUUUUUCAGGUCCGGUUGGGACCAAUUUAGCUCGGAACUCAUGACACCAAUAAGUCUCUCAUGUGCUGCUAAUCCUGCUAUAUAUAACUUUUUUUUUGUCAAUUUAUCCCGGCAAUUUAUUUGGUAUAUAGUUGACUUUUACGAUUGAAGAGUGAGUGGAUUCAAAUGUUCUUUGAUAAAGUUUCAAACUUUCAACACGCCCCUACGUUGAUCCAUGAGAUUGUAUAUAAUCAUAUUCACAUUAAUAGCAGUCAAACUGACUUUGUCGUUUACACGGAAGCAGCAUGUUUGGACUAAAAAUUAGCAUUUCAAUUUUGAGUAUUUUGUGAACUGUAAGAUAGUCAUGGCUGGUAAGAGGUUCUCGCUUGUUUGGGUGGUUCUCUUCCUUUGUGUGUUGAGCUUUUCUGUCAACACAAAUAUAGCAUUUGCAAGGAACAUUGAUGGUGCUGCUUCUCAAAUUUAUUCAGCUUCACAAGAAAUGGGUUUGGGUUCGAGUAGGAGGCUCCUGCAGCGAUCUGAAUGUAGUAGGGGGUUCUGGGGUCCAGGUCAUCCUGGUCAGGAAUCGCCCAAUAAUCCACGUUGCCACAAUUAUUUGUGAUCUGGUGUUGUCUGCUGCAAUAUAAUUGUAAGGAUGAAGUUCAGAAAAUGUAAAAAGAAAAGAGAAUAAGCUGUUUAUAGGUUUAUAUAGUUUAAGCACCUUAAUUGUGUUAAAAGAGUUUCUCUAAUUAUUCAUGAAUAUUAUCUUUGGAUGACCCGAAUA
Molecule: long non-coding RNA, 1239 nt
Organism: Lotus japonicus
Lineage: Eukaryota; Viridiplantae; Streptophyta; Magnoliopsida; Fabales; Fabaceae
Exons: 2
Source: RefSeq, a predicted model, not a curated record